RNAcentral lists this ribosomal RNA (497 nucleotides) under uncultured bacterium. Its description in RNAcentral is "partial 16S ribosomal RNA". It matches the Rfam family "Bacterial small subunit ribosomal RNA", at positions 28 to 507 of the family's 1533-position model. The record is from RNAcentral.
GAUGAACGCUGGCGGCGUGCCUAAUACAUGCAAGUCGAGCGAACAGACGAGGAGCUUGCUCCUCUGACGUUAGCGGCGGACGGGUGAGUCACACGUGGAUAACCUACCUUUAAGACUGGGAUAACUUCGGGAAACCGGAGCUAAUAUCGGAUAUUAUAUUGAACCGCAUGGUUCAAUAGUGAUAGCCGGUUUUGCUGUCACUAAUUCAUGUAUGCUCGCCGCCUUAGCUAGUUGGUAAGGUAACGGCUUACCAAUGCAACGAUGCGUAGGCGACAUGAGAGGGUGAUCAGUCACACUGGAAAUGAGACACGGUCCAGACUCCUACGGGAGGCAGCAGUAGGGAAUAUUCCGCAAUGGGCGAAAGCCUGACAGAGCAACGCCGGGUGAGUGAUGAAGGUCUUCGGAUCGUAAAGCGCUGUUAGUAGGGAGGAAGGAAAGUGUAAUUAACUAUGCACGUAUUGACGGUACCUACACAAAAAGCCACGGCUAACUUCGUG